RNAcentral lists this ribosomal RNA (305 nucleotides) under uncultured bacterium. RNAcentral's name for it is "bacterial SSU rRNA". It matches the Rfam family "Bacterial small subunit ribosomal RNA", at positions 335 to 633 of the family's 1533-position model. The record is from RNAcentral.
UUGCCUACGGGACGCAGCAGUGGGGAAUUUUGGACAAUGGGCGCAAGCCUGAUCCAGCUAUUCCGCGUGUGGGAUGAAGGCCCUCGGGUUGUAAACCACUUUUGUAGAGAACGAAAAGACACCUUCGAAUAAAGGGUGUUGCUGACGGUACUCUAAGAAUAAGCACCGGCUAACUACGUGCCAGCAGCCGCGGUAAUACGUAGGAUGCGAGCGUUAUCCGGAUUUAUUGGGUUUAAAGGGUGCGUAGGCGGUCCGUUAAGUCAGCGGUAAAAUUGCGGGGCUCAACCCCGUCGAGCGGUUGAAAC